RNAcentral lists this ribosomal RNA (253 nucleotides) under uncultured bacterium. RNAcentral describes it as "partial 16S ribosomal RNA". It matches the Rfam family "Bacterial small subunit ribosomal RNA", at positions 524 to 776 of the family's 1533-position model. The record is from RNAcentral.
UACGGAGGGGGCCAGCGUUGUUCGGAAUUAUUGGGCGUAAAGGGCGCGUAGGCGGUCGAGUAAGUCUGAUGUGAAAUCCCUUGGCUCAACCAAGGAACUGCGUCUUAAACUGCUCGGCUGGAGUCCGGGAGAGGGUAGUGGAAUUCCCAGUGUAGCGGUGAAAUGCGUAGAUAUUGGGAGGAACACCGGUGGCGAGGGCGGCUACCUGGACCGGUACUGACGCUGAGGCGCGAAAGCUAGGGUAGCAAACAGG